Molecule: ribosomal RNA, 425 nt
Filed under: uncultured bacterium
Lineage: Bacteria
Description: partial 16S ribosomal RNA
Rfam family: Bacterial small subunit ribosomal RNA
Source: RNAcentral
GUAGGGAAUCUUGCGCAAUGGGCGAAAGCCUGACGCAGCCAUGCCGCGUGAAUGAUGAAGGUCUUAGGAUUGUAAAAUUCUUUCACCGGGGACGAUAAUGACGGUCCCCGGAGAAGAAGCCCCGGCUAACUUCGUGCCAGCAGCCGCGGUAAUACGAAGGGGGCUAGCGUUGCUCGGAAUUACUGGGCGUAAAGGGAGCGUAGGCGGAUAGUUUAGUCAGAGGUGAAAGCCCAGGGCUCAACCUUGGAAUUGCCGUUGAUACUGGCUAUCAUGAGUAUGAAAGAGGUAUGUGGAACUCCGAGUGUAGAGGUGAAAUUCGUAGAUAUUCGGAAGAACACCAGGGGCGAAGGGGACAUACUGGUCCAUUACUGACGCUGAGGCUCGAAAGCGUGGGGAGCAAACAGGAUUAGAUACCCUUGUAGGCC